This 340-nucleotide ribosomal RNA is filed under the name uncultured eukaryote. Its description in RNAcentral is "partial 18S ribosomal RNA". It matches the Rfam family "Eukaryotic small subunit ribosomal RNA", at positions 1470 to 1796 of the family's 1831-position model. The record is from RNAcentral.
CCCUUAGAUGUUCGGGGCCGCACGCGCGCUACACUGAAGGACUCAGCGUGUCUCUCCCCCUAUCCCGAAAGGGAUGGGCAACCCGUUGAACCUCCUUCGUGCUAGGGAUUGGGGUUUGCAAUUAUCCCCCAUGAACGAGGAAUUCCCAGUAAGCGCGAGUCGUCAGCUCGCGUUGAUUACGUCCCUGCCCUUUGUACACACCGCCCGUCGCUACUACCGAUUGGAUGGUUUAGUGAGACCCUCGGAUCGGUCCCGACUCGGGGUGGGCUUCUGCCCCGGUCGUGGUUUCGCCGAGAAGACGGUCAAACUUGACUAUCUAGAGGAAGUAAGAGUCGUAACA